AUGUAAAAUGACUCUCGGCAACGGAUAUCUCGGCUCUUGCAUCGAUGAAGAACGUAGCGAAAUGCGAUACUUGGUGUGAAUUGCAGAAUCCCGUGAACCAUCGAGUCUUUGAACGCAAGUUGCGCCCAAAGCCAUUAGGCCUAGGGCACGCCUGCCUGGGUGUCACAC
RNAcentral lists this ribosomal RNA (168 nucleotides) under Phaseolus dumosus. RNAcentral describes it as "5.8S ribosomal RNA". It matches the Rfam family "5.8S ribosomal RNA". From Rfam's summary of the family: 5.8S ribosomal RNA (5.8S rRNA) is a component of the large subunit of the eukaryotic ribosome. It is transcribed by RNA polymerase I as part of the 45S precursor that also contains 18S and 28S rRNA. The record is from RNAcentral. Lineage: Eukaryota; Viridiplantae; Streptophyta; Magnoliopsida; Fabales; Fabaceae.